This is a non-coding RNA of Cinara cedri, 354 nucleotides long. The record is from the annotation of a GenBank genome assembly. NCBI's taxonomy places the organism in Eukaryota, Metazoa, Arthropoda, Insecta, Hemiptera, Aphididae.
AAUAAAUCUGAAGGAGUUUCGCACUCUAUUAAAAUUUAGAGCAAAUGCCGGCGAUGAAAUUUUAAAAAAUUAUUUGGAAGGGGGGCAGCAAAUGCUCAAUAAACAAGCACAAAAACACAAAAUAUGCUAAUUGAAAUUUUUGGGCAAGUAAUCACUGAACAAACAAUAAAUAAAAUAAACCGUGCAAGUUUUUUUCCGUUAUGGCCGAUGAAACGAUUGAUAUUCAGACGAGAACAAAUAUCGUUAUGUAUUCGAUAUAUUGAUUCUGACAUCUUACGAUUUGGGAAGAUUUUUUAAAUUUAUAGUCUUCUCAGAUUUAAGUAUCUCUGGUUUUGAAUAUUAAUUAUACACGAG